UUAUCACCAGGAAGCUUCUUCCCCCAAUUGUGGUGUGCUUAACUAUGCCUUAAAUAAACUGCCCAGUGUCAGACUUGAGCCAACACUGGCUACUGAGUCAUAUUGAACUGGAUUUCCUUCUUGCCUCAUAUGCUGUGGCAUUUGUAGAGACCCAGAGGAAAGCAUGAGAAAAAGUCCCAGUGGCCAAUUAUGUAAUGAUUUUACAGAAGUCAGAAGGAAUAGUGUGCAAGUAAAGGUAUUGUCUGCCACAGGGAGAUCCUUUUUUCAUGCAUGGGAGGCAGUAGAAUGACGACACAGAGGAAGAGACAUGUACUGAUGUGUAGUGGGUAAAAGGUUCCAGGUGAUAAUAUUGUCUGGCGUCCAGAAAAAGUGGCUAGAAUGGAGAUGAGGUCAUGAAGGUCCAUAGCCUCUCCCUUGAGACCUCCUUCAAAGAGAAGAAAAACAGAAGAAAAACACCAAGUCCAAUUUGUGUUGCCCAUAUACUCACUGGAGAAUGGUCACACUCCCCAUGGCCAGCCCUAUAAAGAAAACAGUCUGUCUCCACCCCUCCUCUGCCAGAAGCCAUCAACUGUGGAGAGCUUCACUCCAGGAUCCCUAUCACAAUUUUCAGAGUUCUUCUCGAUGUCCAGUCUGUAGUCAUCAGUAUCACAGCAAAAGAAGCUUCCUUGUCCUUUACAGUCAGUGGCAGCAUGGAUCACAGACUUACAUAUGGUUUCUGGAAGCAUUGCAGACCACAGACAUCAACAUGGUCCUGGGUCAAAGCAUGGACCUCAGACACCAUCAUGGUUCUUGGAGGUGGCAGACCAUAUGAACCUCAAUAUGGUCUCUGGUGACAACAUGGGGCACAGGCCUUAUCAUUGUCUCUGACAGCACCACAUACUAACAUCAACAUAUACAUCUAAAUACACACCACCUACAUGCCAACAUACACUCUAAAAACACACCACAUACACAACAUACACUCUAAAUACACACCACAUACACAUCAAGGUGGUCUCUAGUGGGAGCACAGACCAUGGACAGCCACAUGGCAUUCGGCUGCAGCAAAGACCACAGAAUGCCCUUGGUGACCUGCAAACCUCUUGAAACUCAUUUUCUAGUUGCCCUGGGAGUAAAACCUCAAGUUUGGCUCGUUUCCAGUCUUUAACAAGUAAAUAGCAGGGACCUAGUAAAAAAUAUUGAGACAACACUGACCUUCAAGAAGUUGUUGAAGGAAUAAGGCAACAAUAUUUCCAUAUUUCAAGGCAGAAAAUAAAAACAAGAGAGAUGACUGCUUUUCCUCCAGUCACACAAUAAUCUCUAAAACAACACGAUAAUCUGUGUUGAGUCCCAGCCCCCACAGGGUCUCUGAGUUGUUUGUCAGCUGAUAGCCACAGUGCAUCCUACUCUCUAGUCCUGGCUUACUGCUCCAGCAUUGCCCCACUGACAUCAACAUCUAGCAGGAGGAAAACAUGAGCUCUUCCACCUGGUGUUUUCCCACUGUCCUGUAAGUCUGUAUAUAAGUCUAUUCCCUCUCUAUGAGAGAAAGAGAAGA
Mesocricetus auratus (golden hamster) is the source of this 1534-nucleotide long non-coding RNA. RefSeq lists it as uncharacterized. NCBI's taxonomy places the organism in Eukaryota, Metazoa, Chordata, Mammalia, Rodentia, Cricetidae. The record is from RefSeq and is a predicted model, not a curated record. The transcript is spliced from 3 exons.